UACAUAGGUCUCAAGCGUUGUUCGGAUACAUUGGGCGUAAAGGGUGUGUAGGUGGCGCUGUAAGUCGGGUGUGAAAUUUCGGAGCUUAACUCCGAAACUGCAUUCGAUACUGCGGUGCUUGAGGACUGGAGAGGAGACUGGAAUUCAUGGUGUAGCAGUGAAAUGCGUAGAGAUCAUGAGGAAGACCAGUGGCGAAGGCGGGUCUCUGGACAGUUCCUGACACUGAGACACGAAGGCAAGGGGAGCAAACGGG
This 253-nucleotide ribosomal RNA is filed under the name uncultured bacterium. Its description in RNAcentral is "partial 16S ribosomal RNA". It matches the Rfam family "Bacterial small subunit ribosomal RNA", at positions 524 to 776 of the family's 1533-position model. The record is from RNAcentral.